RNAcentral lists this ribosomal RNA (234 nucleotides) under uncultured Candidatus Saccharibacteria bacterium. RNAcentral's name for it is "partial 16S ribosomal RNA". It matches the Rfam family "Bacterial small subunit ribosomal RNA", at positions 584 to 818 of the family's 1533-position model. Lineage: Bacteria; Candidatus Saccharimonadota. The record is from RNAcentral.
UAAGCGAAGAGUGAAAUUGUGUGGCUCAACCAUACACCCAUUAUUCGAACUGCUCAGCUUGAGAGUGAGAGAGGUUACUGGAAUUCCCUGUGUAGGAGUGAAAUCCGUAGAUAUAGGGAGGAACACCAAUGGCGUAGGCAGGUAACUGGCUCAUCUCUGACACUAAGGCACGAAAGCGUGGGAGCAAACGGGAUUAGAUACCCCGGUAGUCCACGCCGUAAACUAUGGAUGCUA